This 253-nucleotide ribosomal RNA is filed under the name uncultured bacterium. RNAcentral describes it as "partial 16S ribosomal RNA". It matches the Rfam family "Bacterial small subunit ribosomal RNA", at positions 524 to 776 of the family's 1533-position model. The record is from RNAcentral.
UACGGAGGGAGCUAGCGUUGUUCGGACUUACUGGGCGUAACGCGCACGUAGGCGGCUUUGUAAGUUAGAGGUGAAAGCCCGGGGCUCAACUCCGGAACUGCCUUUAAGACUGCAUCGCUUGAAUCCAGGAGAGGUGAGUGGAAUUCCGAGUGUAGAGGUGAAAUUCGUAGAUAUUCGGAAGAACACCAGUGGCGAAGGCGGCUCACUGGACUGGUAUUGACGCUGAGGUGCGAAAGCGUGGGGAGCAAGCAGG